AAAGUCGUAACAAGGUCUCCGUUGGUGAACCAGCGGAGGGAUCAUUACCGAGUUGCAAAACUCCCAACCCAACCGUCUACUUAUACCAAAACGUUUGCUUCGGCGGGCGGCCCCAGGGCGGGGCCACCGCUAUGCCCGCCGGAGGAAACACCCCCAACUCUUGAUAUUUCAGUGGAACUCUGAGCACAAAGACAAUAGUCAAAACUUUCAACAACGGAUCUCUUGGUUCUG
Molecule: unclassified non-coding RNA, 231 nt
Filed under: fungal sp.
Lineage: Eukaryota; Fungi
Description: partial internal transcribed spacer region
Rfam family: Eukaryotic small subunit ribosomal RNA (bases 1-47)
Source: RNAcentral